Malaclemys terrapin pileata is the source of this 1388-nucleotide long non-coding RNA. RefSeq lists it as uncharacterized. NCBI's taxonomy places the organism in Eukaryota, Metazoa, Chordata, Testudines, Emydidae. The record is from RefSeq and is a predicted model, not a curated record. The transcript has 2 exons.
GGCCACACCUGGCUGUUUGAGGAGGCACAGCCUCCCCUAACCGGCCCUCCAUACAAUUUCCAAAACCCGAUGUGGCCCUCAGGCCAAAAAGUUUGCCCGCCCCUGCCUCAGUUAAUCAAAAAGGCAGAGUCAUAAACACCAAUGCAGGCAUGUACCAGCAAGUUGCAUGAUGGCAGCGUGCUGAGAUCUGGUGGAUAAGGGUGAGAAUUUUCACAUGGAGUAAGCCUGACACCAUUGGUUUGCAGAUCUAGUACUGGCAACCAGAAAGUGCUUUGUCAUUACUGAGACUAGUCCAGGCAAGCAAGGGAAAUACAAGUGAUUCCUUGUGUUCCCAUAUCCUUUCAAUGCAGGGUGACAUGAGGAAAUGUGCCCUGUGCAGCUGUAAGAGACAUAUGAGUUUAUUUGCUGUCGCUUUUAUAUGGUAAGAGUCUGAUAUUUUAUUAAAAGCUUUGGAAAACUUCAUGACUAUCUUUUUUCAAGCAAACCAACUUAUUAACAUAACCAAAAGUAUUCUGAAAACCAUUGCAGGCAUCCUAGCUCCCUAUACACAAGUAAGUGAAAGUGCAAAUUUGCAGAAUUGUGCCAUUACCUAGAGCAGAGGUUCCCAAACUUAUUUGGCCUACCGCCCCCUUUUCAGAAAAAAAAUUACUCAGCGCCCCCCCUGGAAAUCUACCUUCUUUAAGCGAACAAACCAAAAGAUGCAGUGACAAAUUUGUGUUCUUUUAUGUAUCUAUAUUUCUACCUAUGUCCUACAAUACAGUAAAGAAAGAUGUGUUAUUAGAAUAUCGCCCACGACAUCAGGUAUACAGUGGUUUUUGCGUAAGAUGGCAAAAGACAACCAAACUAAAAUACUAAUGAAAUUAAUAAACUGGGGUUUGUUCUUUGCUCAGCAUUAGAUAUAUGUAUUUGAUAUUAAAUUGUCAAAUAUCAAACUAAAUUUAUCAAGAAAUAAUUAAAAAUAAUCAAUAUGCAAUUAAAAAUCAGUUAGUUUUAAUUUAGUUUGCCCUUAUUUAAAUAAUUGUUCCUUAUUAACACACGCCUUAUUUACCAAUUAACACAGAUGAUUCGAUACAUAUAAAUAAAUGUUAAUAGUUAAGUUUUUUUAUGAUUUCAUUCCUGUUUUCGUUAAUAUUGUAAUAAAAAUAUGACAAAUAUAUUGACUGUACACUUCAAAUAGUACUGUACCGACACAAGCCUGCUACGAUUUUAUUAUUAGUAAGCACUAGAGACACAGAAACGUACGGUAGAUAUGUAAGAAAAUGUAUAAAAAUAUUCACAUGUAAAUUGCUGUUUUAUUGAAACAAUAAUAAUACAAUUUGCUUUGUAUGUGAUCCGUAAUCCGUAAAGAUCGAAGGUAUUGAAUAUGAAUAAAAAAUUUUAAAUACUUA